This is a non-coding RNA of Linepithema humile (Argentine ant), 1007 nucleotides long. NCBI's taxonomy places the organism in Eukaryota, Metazoa, Arthropoda, Insecta, Hymenoptera, Formicidae. The record is from RefSeq and is a predicted model, not a curated record.
AUAAAUUAUGGGAAUAUGAUCUUGUCAUGGCCAAAAAAUUACUUUUUUAUGAAGUAAUGCUUCAAUGAAGAUUGAAAUUAUUCAAUUAUUUAAUAACAGAUAAUUAUAAAGUAUUUCUUGAAAAUGUUUUUAAAAACAAUUUUGGCGAAUGCACAAUGAAUAUGAACGACUGAUGUUUCAAGAAGUUUUACUUUAAUGAUGCUUAGAAUAUUAUCGUUGGACGCAGUUAUAGCAUGAUGUAAGAAGCAGAAGAAAAGGACCGCAGAUGCAUCCUGUUAAUCUGCAAGUUGCCAACAAUGGAAGCGUGGCGCGUUAUGAAUCGAUUGUUGUAAACCGAUGAAUAGAGAACUUCGCAAUGCAGAAAUUGCAAAGCGCCAAGGUCCGGCAUUCUCACAAGGACGCGAGGAGAAUGCAGAAGGAAUUAUUUCCAUCGAGACUUCAAUAUUGCCUUAGUGGAAGAUCUCGCAAUAACAUUAGAGAACAUAAAGAUUGAAAUUCUUUUACUGCCCUUGGAAAUUACUUGUACUUGUACUUGUACUUUUAUCACGGAUACUUUUCGUUAUCAACUCAAAUAGACCAAUCAAAUCAAAUCUCUUUAAUUGAGAAAUCGGAACUCAAGUAGGACAAAUCCGAGCUGAGACGGAGAUAAUUGAUAAUUGGAUAAUUUAGAUUCAGAUGGAAGCGAGAGCUCUCGUGACGCGGAAGAGAAGUAUGGUUGCACUCUCGACCCGUUCUGUGGUGCGUUAGCUUUCCGCAGCGAGAUUCGGGUCUACAUGCAUCAAUGGGUCAAGCUGAAAGUACAUUGUACACCGAGCGGGAAAAUCACCCGUUCGAGGGGCAACGCGUUCGCCGCACAAUGCAACGAAUUAAAAGUAUGCAUCACGGUGCAAUUGUUAAAACUUAGUCGCGAUAACGGUGAACGAGCAAAAUUAAUUUUUGCUCAGAACGUGUAAUUAUUUUGGUCAAGGUGAUCUUAUAAUGUCCGAUUAUUUUCAUUAAAAUUCUGU